CCAUGCCGCGUGUGUGAAGAAGGCCUUAUGGUUGUAAAGCACUUUAAGCGAGGAGGAGGCUCUUCUAGUUAAUACCUAGGAUGAGUGGACGUUACUCGCAGAAUAAGCACCGGCUAACUCUGUGCCAGCAGCCGCGGUAAUACAGAGGGUGCGAGCGUUAAUCGGAUUUACUGGGCGUAAAGCGUGCGUAGGCGGCUUUUUAAGUCGGAUGUGAAAUCCCCGAGCUUAACUUGGGAAUUGCAUUCGAUACUGGGAAGCUAGAGUAUGGGAGAGGAUGGUAGAAUUCCAGGUGUAGCGGUGAAAUGCGUAGAGAUCUGGAGGAAUACCGAUGGCGAAGGCAGCCAUCUGGCCUAAUACUGACGCUGAGGUACGAAAGCAUGGGGAGCAAACAGGAUUAGAUACCCUGGUAGUCCAUGCCGUAAACGAUGUCUACUAGCCGUUGGGGCCUUUGAGGCUUUAGUGGCGCAGCUAACGCGAUAAGUAGACCGCCUGGGGAGUACGGUCGCAAGACUAAAACUCAAAUGAAUUGACGGGGGCCCGCACAAGCGGUGGAGCAUGUGGUUUAAUUCGAUGCAACGCGAAGAACCUUACCUGGUCU
RNAcentral lists this ribosomal RNA (598 nucleotides) under Acinetobacter sp. Its description in RNAcentral is "bacterial SSU rRNA". It matches the Rfam family "Bacterial small subunit ribosomal RNA", at positions 392 to 981 of the family's 1533-position model. The record is from RNAcentral. Lineage: Bacteria; Pseudomonadati; Pseudomonadota; Gammaproteobacteria; Moraxellales; Moraxellaceae.